CCUACGGGAGGCAGCAGUGGGGAAUAUUGCGCAAUGGGGGCAACCCUGACGCAGCAACGCCGCGUGAUUGAAGAAGGCCUUCGGGUUGUAAAGAUCUUUAAUCGGGGACGAAUUUUGACGGUACCCGAAGAAUAAGCUCCGUCUAAAUACGUGCCAGCAGCCGCGGUAAUACGUAGGGAGCAAGCGUUAUCCGGAUUUACUGGGGGUAAAGGGGGUGUAGGCGGGAAUGCAAGCUAGAAGUGAAAUCAGGGGGCUUAACGCCCAAACUGCGUUUGCAACUGCGUGUCUUGAGUGAUGGAGAGGUAGGCGGAAUGCACAGUGUAGCGGUGAAAUGCGGAGAUAUUGGGAGGAACACCAGUGGCGAAGGCGGCAUGCUGGACAUUAACUGACGCUGAGGCGCGAAAGCGUGGGGAGCAAACAGGAGUAGAUACCCGAGUAGUC
This 441-nucleotide ribosomal RNA is filed under the name uncultured bacterium. Its description in RNAcentral is "partial 16S ribosomal RNA". It matches the Rfam family "Bacterial small subunit ribosomal RNA", at positions 338 to 795 of the family's 1533-position model. The record is from RNAcentral.